Molecule: ribosomal RNA, 300 nt
Filed under: uncultured Methanosarcina sp.
Lineage: Archaea; Methanobacteriati; Methanobacteriota; Methanomicrobia; Methanosarcinales; Methanosarcinaceae
Description: bacterial SSU rRNA
Rfam family: Bacterial small subunit ribosomal RNA
Source: RNAcentral
AGUAAUAUGGUGCCGGUAGCCGCGGUAAUACGAAGGGGUCGAGCGUUGUCCGGAAUUAAGGGGCAGAAAUAGCUUGUAGGCGGUAUGUCGCGUCUGCGGUAAAAAUACGGUGAUCAACCCCGGACUGGCAGUGGGUACGGGCAGACUAGAUGAUGGGAGGGGAGACUGGAAUUCCUGGUGUAGCGGUGAAAUGCGCAGAUAUCAGGAGGAACACCGAUGGCGAAGGCAGGUCUCUGGGCCACUACUGACGCUGAGAAGCGAAAGCAUGGGGAGCGAACAGGAUUAGAUACCCGUGUAGUC